This 75-nucleotide transfer RNA is filed under the name Gemmobacter caeni. RNAcentral's name for it is "tRNA-Glu". It matches the Rfam family "tRNA". From Rfam's summary of the family: Transfer RNA (tRNA) molecules are approximately 80 nucleotides in length. Their secondary structure includes four short double-helical elements and three loops (D, anti-codon, and T loops). Lineage: Bacteria; Pseudomonadati; Pseudomonadota; Alphaproteobacteria; Rhodobacterales; Paracoccaceae. The record is from RNAcentral.
GGCCCGUUCGUCUAUCGGUCAGGACAUCAGGUUUUCAACCUGAAGAGAGGGGUUCAAUUCCCCUACGGGCUACCA